Molecule: non-coding RNA, 21 nt
Filed under: Caenorhabditis elegans
Lineage: Eukaryota; Metazoa; Nematoda; Chromadorea; Rhabditida; Rhabditidae
Source: RNAcentral
UCCGUGAACUUUUUUGCUUGC